GGAAUCUACUCAGUAAGGAUAAUGGCAUACUGACAGGAAGGCUGGCUGCACGAAGGGCGACCGACGCGCAGAAGCCCAGCCCGACGAAGGAAUGAGCCAAACUAAAGUGAAGUCCCGUAUGUACGCCUCGAUACUUCCAAUCGAAAGAUAACCCGAUGGCCAAGCGAAUCAUAAUAGCCGAAGCCCACGCGGACGCGCCGAAACCAUUACGCGGUGCGCCUGACGGGUCGGGGUAUAGGGACA
Molecule: non-coding RNA, 243 nt
Organism: Cellulomonas carbonis T26
Lineage: Bacteria; Bacillati; Actinomycetota; Actinomycetes; Micrococcales; Cellulomonadaceae
Source: Rfam